AUUCGCGGCCUAUCAGCUUGUUGGUGAGGUAAUGGCCUACCAAGGCGACGACGGGUAGCCGACCUGAGAGGGUGACCGGCCACACUGGGACUGAGACACGGCCCAGACUCCUACGGGAGGCAGCAGUGGGGAAUAUUGCACAAUGGGCGAAAGCCUGAUGCAGCGACGCCGCGUGAGGGAUGACGGCCUUCGGGUUGUAAACCUCUUUCAGCAGGGACGAAGCGCAAGUGACGGUACCUGCAGAAGAAGCACCGGCUAACUACGUGCCAGCAGCCGCGGUAAUACGUAGGGUGCAAGCGUUGUCCGGAAUUACUGGGCGUAAAGAGUUCGUAGGCGGUUUGUCGCGUCGUUUGUGAAAACCAGCAGCUCAACUGCUGGCUUGCAGGCGAUACGGGCAGACUUGAGUACUGCAGGGGAGACUGGAAUUCCUGGUGUAGCGGUGAAAUGCGCAGAUAUCAGGAGGAACACCGGUGGCGAAGGCGGGUCUCUGGGCAGUAACUGACGCUGAGGAACGAAAGCGUGGGUAGCGAACAGGAUUAGAUACCCUGGUAGUCCACGCCGUAAACGGUGGGCGCUAGGUGUGGGUUCCUUCCACGGAAUCCGUGCCGUAGCUAACGCAUUAAGCGCCCCGCC
Molecule: ribosomal RNA, 633 nt
Filed under: uncultured Actinomycetes bacterium
Lineage: Bacteria; Bacillati; Actinomycetota; Actinomycetes
Description: bacterial SSU rRNA
Rfam family: Bacterial small subunit ribosomal RNA
Source: RNAcentral